CCACUGCACCUGGCCAAAGACAUUGUCCUAAGUUAAAAAAGCCAACCACGAUUCCAAAUAUAUAAGGUACCUAGAGUAGUCAAAUUUACAGAGGCAGAAAGUAGAAUAGUGGUAGCCAAGGGCUGGAGGCUGGGGGAAUGGGAAGUUGUUGUUUAAUGGGUACAGAGUUUCAGUUUUGCAAGAUGAAAAGAGUUCUCGAAGAUUGGUAGCACAACAGUGUAAAUGUGAAAAUGGCAAAUUUUAUGUUACAUGAUUUUAUCCAAUUUAAAAAUAUAAAUAAAUAAUAAAAAUUUAAAAUAUCAGGUAGUAAGAAGGAUUAUGAAGAAGAUAAAACAAGUAGGUGCACAGAGCACUUGGGGUGGGGUGGGUAGAUUUAUAUUUGGUGGUCAGAGAACACUUCCCUGAUAAGUGACAGUCAAGCAGAGAUCUGAAGUCUGUGAAGGAGGAAGCACACAUCUGGGGAAAGAGCAUUUCAGCAGAUGUUAAAGCAAAUGCCAGUGGUAAAAAGUGGAACCAGUUUGGUGUGUUCUAGGAAUAGGAAGAGAGCCAGUUGUAGCUCAAACAUGAUAGGAGAGGAGAGUGGUGGAAUAAGGUCUCAGAGAGGUGGUGAUGGACAGAUCAUGUUUCGAGUUAUGCCUGAGUAUGUAUAAAGGCAUCCUGGUAUGAAUAAAAUGUAGGUAUUAUAUUUCUCUGUAAUUGUAGACAUAGUGUCUGUUUGUUUGAAGGCAGAUGAUUCUGUUGACUUACCUCAGACAUAUUUUCACUCUCUGUACCUCUCUAAGUUAGAUGAACAUUCGUAUUGGAGAUAGAGUCUCCAAGCUGUAUUCAGUAUUAUUCUUCUUCCCACCCCCACCUUGCCAUUUUUCUAAGGGAAUAGAUUUCCAAAAUUUUCAAGUUGCAGAAUGAAUGCUGUAUUUAUAGUUCAGAGCUAAAAUUUAAGCUUAUUUUAAGAAUUCUCUUAUUGCGGGAGGCCGAGGC
This 978-nucleotide long non-coding RNA is filed under the name Homo sapiens (human). RNAcentral describes it as "non-protein coding lnc-LARP7-3:1". The record is from RNAcentral. Lineage: Eukaryota; Metazoa; Chordata; Mammalia; Primates; Hominidae.